ACGGUUUCGGCUGUCACUUGCAGAUGGACCCGCGGCGCAUUAGCUAGUUGGUGGGGUAAUGGCUCACCAAGGCGACGAUGCGUAGCCGACCUGAGAGGGUGAUCGGCCACACUGGGACUGAGACACGGCCCAGACUCCUACGGGAGGCAGCAGUAGGGAAUCUUCCGCAAUGGACGAAAGUCUGACGGAGCAACGCCGCGUGAGUGAUGAAGGUUUUCGGAUCGUAAAGCUCUGUUGUUAGGGAAGAACAAGUGCGAGAGUAACUGCUCGCACCUUGACGGUACCUAACCAGAAAGCCACGGCUAACUACGUGCCAGCAGCCGCGGUAAUACGUAGGUGGCAAGCGUUGUCCGGAAUUAUUGGGCGUAAAGGGCUCGCAGGCGGUUUCUUAAGUCUGAUGUGAAAGCCCCCGGCUCAACCGGGGAGGGUCAUUGGAAACUGGGAAACUUGAGUGCAGAAGAGGAGAGUGGAAUUCCACGUGUAGCGGUGAAAUGCGUAGAGAUGUGGAGGAACACCAGUGGCGAAGGCGACUCUCUGGUCUGUAACUGACGCUGAGGAGCGAAAGCGUGGGGAGCGAACAGGAUUAGAUACCCUGGUAGUCCACGCCGUAAACGAUGAGUGCUAAGUGUUAGGGGGUUUCCGCCCCUUAGUGCUGCAGCUAACGCAUUAAGCACUCCGCCUGGGGAGUACGGUCGCAAGACUGAAACUCAAAGGAAUUGACGGGGGCCCGCACAAGCGGUGGAGCAUGUGGUUUAAUUCGAAGCAACGCGAAGAACCUUACCAGGUCUUGACAUCCUCUGACAACCCUAGAGAUAGGGCUUUCCCUUCGGGGACAGAGUGACACGGUGUGCAUGGUUGUCGUCAGCUCGUGUCGUGAGAUGUUGGGUUAAGUCCCGCAACGAGCGCAACCCUUGAUCUUAGUUGCCAGCAUUUAGUUGGGCACUCUAAGGUGACUGCCGGUGACAAACCGGAGGAAGGUGGGGAUGACGUCAAAUCAUCAUGCCCCUUAUGACCUGGGCUACACACGUGCUACAAUGGACAGAACAAAGGGCUGCGAGACCGCAAGGUUUAGCCAAUCCCAUAAAUCUGUUCUCAGUUCG
RNAcentral lists this ribosomal RNA (1100 nucleotides) under Bacillus pumilus. RNAcentral's name for it is "bacterial SSU rRNA". It matches the Rfam family "Bacterial small subunit ribosomal RNA", at positions 207 to 1295 of the family's 1533-position model. The record is from RNAcentral. Lineage: Bacteria; Bacillati; Bacillota; Bacilli; Caryophanales; Bacillaceae.